AUCAUCAAGCUCGAUUUCCACAAGGCUUUCGACUCGGUGUCUUGGGUCGCCCUUGCCGCGAUCUUACGCGCAAAAGGCUUUCCACCGUCCUGGUGCCGUUGGGUUGACCACCUAAACUCUUCGUCCACCUCGGCCGUGUUACUGAACGGCAAGCCGGGCCCUUGGUUCCCAUGUCGGCAAGGCUUGCGGCAGGGUGACCCUUUCUCCCCC
RNAcentral lists this ribosomal RNA (210 nucleotides) under Triticum aestivum (bread wheat). RNAcentral describes it as "partial small subunit ribosomal RNA". Lineage: Eukaryota; Viridiplantae; Streptophyta; Magnoliopsida; Poales; Poaceae. The record is from RNAcentral.